UACGUAGGUGACAAGCGUUGUCCGGAUUUACUGGGCGUAAAGAGCGCGCAGGCGGUCGUUCAAGUCGAGUGUGAAAGCCCCCGGCUCAACUGGGGAGGGUCAUUCGAUACUGAUCGACUCGAAGGCAGGAGAGGGAAGUGGAAUUCCCGGUGUAGUGGUGAAAUGCGUAGAUAUCGGGAGGAACACCAGUGGCGAAGGCGACUCUUUGGCCUGUAACUGACGCUGAGGCGCGAAAGCGUGGGGAGCGAACAGG
This 253-nucleotide ribosomal RNA is filed under the name uncultured bacterium. RNAcentral describes it as "partial 16S ribosomal RNA". It matches the Rfam family "Bacterial small subunit ribosomal RNA", at positions 524 to 776 of the family's 1533-position model. The record is from RNAcentral.